Non-coding RNA from Ceratotherium simum simum (southern white rhinoceros), 238 nucleotides. Lineage: Eukaryota; Metazoa; Chordata; Mammalia; Perissodactyla; Rhinocerotidae. The record is from RefSeq and is a predicted model, not a curated record.
CCAUAUGGUGUAGGUUCUAUAGGUAAAGGUCCAUAUGGUGUAGGUUCCGUAGGUGUAGGUACAUAGGUGUAGGUAUAUAUGGUAUAGGUUCCAUAGGUGUAAGCACAUAGGUGUAGGUAUAUAUGGUAUAGGUUCCAUAGGUGUAGGUACAUAGAUGUAGGUAUAUAUGGUAUAGGUUCCAUAGGUGUAGGUUCCAUAUGGUGUAGGUUCAUGUGGUGAAGGUCCAUGUGGUGUGGGU